GUCACCAGGACAACGGGCGUCGCCGGCGCCGUGUGACUUCGGGCUGUGGGCUCGCUCGCGGCUCUUCGGCCAUGGUUUUCUCAAACAAUGAUGAAGGCCUUAUUAACAAAAAGUUACCCAAAGAACUUCUGUUAAGGUAAAUGUAGAUAAAUUCUGGAUGAAGAGUUUAGAUCUGAUUUAGUCAUCAAGUUCCAAGACUAUCUUCUUUCUCACUCACUCCAUGGGCUUUUUAAAGGACUGCUGCCUCUAUUUCCUGCUGUCUGUGGUGCCUGCUGCCUUAUAUACCAGGGCAUCCUAACAGAAUAUUUUCCUUCUUGGAUAUAGUAACUUUGUGCCGAUGUGCACAGAUUUCCAAGGCUUGGAACAUCUUAGCCCUGGAUGGAAGCAACUGGCAAAGAAUAGAUCUUUUUAACUUUCAAACAGAUGUAGAGGGUCGAGUGGUGGAAAAUAUCUCGAAGCGAUGCGGUGGAUUCCUGAGGAAGCUCAGCUUGCGAGGCUGCAUUGGUGUUGGGGAUUCCUCCUUGAAGACCUUUGCACAGAACUGCCGAAACAUUGAACAUUUGAACCUCAAUGGAUGCACAAAAAUCACUGACAGCACGUGUUAUAGCCUUAGCAGAUUCUGUUCCAAGCUGAAACAUCUGGAUCUGACCUCCUGUGUGUCUAUUACAAACAGCUCCUUGAAGGGGAUCAGUGAGGGCUGCCGAAACCUGGAGUACCUGAACCUCUCUUGGUGUGAUCAGAUCACGAAGGAUGGCAUCGAGGCACUGGUGCGAGGUUGUCGAGGCCUGAAAGCCCUGCUCCUGAGGGGCUGCACACAGUUAGAAGAUGAAGCUCUGAAACACAUUCAGAAUUACUGCCAUGAGCUUGUGAGCCUCAACUUGCAGUCCUGCUCACGUAUCACGGAUGAAGGUGUGGUGCAGAUAUGCAGGGGCUGUCACCGGCUACAGGCUCUCUGCCUUUCGGGUUGCAGCAACCUCACAGAUGCCUCUCUUACAGCCCUGGGUUUGAACUGUCCGCGACUGCAAAUUUUGGAGGCUGCCCGAUGCUCCCAUUUGACUGACGCAGGUUUUACACUUUUAGCUCGGAAUUGCCACGAAUUGGAGAAGAUGGAUCUUGAAGAAUGCAUCCUGAUAACCGACAGCACACUCAUCCAGCUCUCCAUUCACUGUCCUAAACUGCAAGCCCUGGUGAGUCUGAGUUUUUCUGACAUUAUUCACCUGUUAAAGAUGAAAGAGCCCUCCCACCACAACAAGAAGCUGUUUGGGUUCUCUUUCUGUAAGAGCCUGUCCCACUGUGAACUCAUCACAGAUGAUGGGAUCCUGCACCUGAGCAACAGUACCUGUGGCCAUGAGAGGCUGCGGGUACUGGAGUUGGACAACUGCCUCCUCAUCACUGAUGUGGCCCUGGAACACCUAGAGAACUGCCGAGGCCUGGAGCGCCUCGAGCUGUACGACUGCCAGCAGGUUACCCGUGCAGGCAUCAAGCGGAUGCGGGCUCAGCUCCCUCAUGUCAAAGUCCACGCCUACUUUGCUCCCGUCACCCCACCGACAGCAGUGGCAGGAAGUGGACAGCGACUGUGCAGGUGCUGUGUCAUUCUCUGACAGCAGCUGCCUGGGCCCAAGGGGUGAUGAGGCAUCCUUUCCUCUAGAAGACCUGAGUCUUCCUGACCGACUCCACCAUCACCCAAUCUGUUGAUUCUCCAUUGGGAAAGGCAUUUACAGGUAAAAGACUUCUGUAUGGAUUGCAGUUACUCUGGUGAUAGUUUUCACCUUUAUUCUGCUGUGAAACAAUCAAAUCAAAGCCUUGUGUCAGUUAACACAUGACAAGUGGUCUCAAUGCAGCUAGGACCAUGCCAGAAACCUGGAUCUCUUAAGAGAUUGGUACCUACCUAGGUACGAAAGUUCUACCCUUGGCAUACUCAGCAUUCCUCAAAAAGACCAUCAGUGUUAGCACAAACUGAGCAGAAAAAAUAAGCUGUUGAUUUUCUACCUGAUACUUAAGCCAGUGGCCUACUUUAAUUCACAAUUCCAUUUUGAUUAGCAGGACUUUUCCACUUUGAAGAUAAAUAGCAACUUUAUCAAAGUGACUGUACUGCAAAUUAAUUCAUAAUGCCUGAUAGUUUUAUAUAUAGAGACUUAUGUGGAAGGCAUGUUAAUAGGUUUCCAUGAGACACCAAAGAAAAGAGGACUCUAUACUGGGUGGAGCAGGGUCUUCACCUUUUUGUUUCUGUCAACUUGUCAUAUACACCUCCAGGGACCAAAAACAAAAGCAGCUCGGAGUCUGUGUUGCCUGAUUGGAAAGUAGAAGCUCUGGUGUAUGCUACAGCACAUAACACAUUUUUACUAAAGGAAAAAAGCUAAUUAUGUCCAUGCCUCUCGUAAAACUGGGGGGAACCUUAAAGAGAAAGAACUAAGGCUUAAGUUAUCUGUAGUAUAAUCAAUUAGAAGUAAUGAAUGGAUGCAUGUAAAAUGGAUGUGAUUUUUUUUCAAGCUUAUUUUGAAAUCUUAAAAAUCAGGUUACACCAUAGCUACUCAAAAGUUUUACACACUUAAAACUCAGAUCAGUAAGUGUUGGUACCUUUUAGACUCAUAAAAUUGAAUAAACCAUUGCAAUGCUUUAAAAAAAAUUAAGUCAGAGGGUUUUAUUGCUAUGAUUUUAUGGCAGACACAUCCAAGCAAAACCAUUUUCCAAAUGCAGACCUUCCUGAUGUUAUCUGAAAUCUGAUAAAAUGACCCUACUCUCUGCUGUGGUUCAUUCUUGCUCCAUGCUGUCCAUAUUUAUGAUCUUUAUUAAGAACCUGUCAAUCAGUCAUCACCACCUUCAUUGUAAACUUAGGUGUUCAUGGUGGCUGGCCCUUCCAAACAACCACUCCCCCAAACUGAAGGGCCAGAGCUCAUGAGAAACUUAAAAGUGAAACGGCAAAAGCAAGAUGUGUUCCCAUGACUACCAAUACCUUUAUUAGGCAGUUUUAGAAGUGUUUUUAAGGAUAUAUUAUGUCAGCUGCAUUCUAGGAAGAGAAGCAGAUUAUAUAUAUAUAUAAUCUCCCCAUAAACGGACUUAGCACAAUUAUCAUCAGAGUAAGCAUUAAAGUCAUUUUAUUGCCUUAUGAUAUAUUCCAGUAUUCCUUGGUCUAAAAAUUGUGUGGAUACCAUAGCAGUUAGUUAAAUAUACAUUUAUACCCACUGUUUGUUGUGGAAGAGAUGAUGGGGGAGGAGGACUGAUGCAGGAAGCAACUUCAAUAAAUGAGCAUAUAACAGACUUGCUUCAGUGAUUAUGAAUUAGUUUAGUUUCUAUUAAAAAAAAUUAACUUAAGGCUGGCCACGGUGGUUCAUGCCUAUAAUCCCAGCACUUGGGGAGGCCAAGGCGGGUGGAUCACCUGAGGUCAGGAGUUUGAGACCAGCCUGGCCAACACAGUAAAACCCCAUCUCUACUGAAAAUACAAAAAUUAGCCGGGCGUGGUGCUGGGCACCUGUAAUCUCAGCUACUCGGGAGGCUGAAGCAGGAGAAAUGCUGGAACCCAGGAGGCGGAGGUGGCAGUGAGCCGAGAUUGUGCCAUUGCACUCCAUCCAGCCCAGGAGACAACAGUGAGACUCCAUCAUCAUCUCAAAACAAAACAAACAAACAAACAAAACAAACCACCAGAGCCUUCUAUACAUGAUUGAUUUCUUUUGAGCCAGGAUACAACCUAUCAUCAGUCACAGCUAUUGGACUUGAUGCUCAAUGAUCCAUGGCCUCAUUUACAAAACAGGAGAACCUCUUGUAAGAAAAUCAGGUUUGCAGGCUGGGCACGGUGGCUCACGCCUGUAAUCCCAGCACUUUGGGAGGCAGAGGCGGGCGGAUCGUGAGAUCAGGAGAUCAAGACCAUCCUGGCUAACACAGUGAAACCCCGUCUCUACUAAAAAUACAAAAAAAAUUAGCCGGGCAUAGUGGCGGGUGCCUGUAGUCCCAGCUACUCAGGAGACUGAGGCAGAAGAAUGGCGUGAACCCGGGAGGCAGAGCUUGCAGUGAGCCGAGAUUGCGCCACUGCACUCCAGCCUGGGUGACAGAGCCAGACUCCGUCUCAAAAAAAAAAAAAAAAAAGAAAA
Molecule: RNA transcript, 4085 nt
Organism: Homo sapiens (human)
Lineage: Eukaryota; Metazoa; Chordata; Mammalia; Primates; Hominidae
Gene: FBXL2
Gene name: F-box and leucine rich repeat protein 2
Exons: 16
Source: RefSeq, marked reviewed